ACCACUCACCACCACUUUUUAAACCCAUUCUCCAAUAUUGUACGUAACCCCAUUUUGCAAUUGCAUUUUCAAAACCUAUUUUCACGUAAAAUAGUGAAGAAGAAUUUAAAGAAUUUACAUCCUACAAUAACCACUUCUCCAUCUCACGAUCGACAACCCACACCUAAUCGGAAUACAUUUCAAGUUCAAUAUCCGACAAUUCAUAUUUGGCUCCAACUUCAAAUUGAGGAGUGCCUGAAGGGUACAUCGAUGCCGUCUUCUUGUAAAAGAGUUGCAUCAGAGGUGCCCUCAAAUGCUAUCAAUCCAAUUGAAAAUGAAGAAGUGGUGGUGACAAAGAAGCAACGCUCGAUGCAAAUUUGAGUAUCGUCUACUUUGAAUCGAACUCCAUACAUUAGGAGCAGUAAAAAGAGAGGACAAUAUGAAAUAAUUGAAAUUUGUUUAACGGAAAACGAUGUCGUCCAUUUUUGAAAGGUUAAGAAUAGUGGACCUGUUCGGGUUAUGAAACUUAAGUAUAUAAUCUUUGUACUUUGAUCAUGGAAAAUGUUGUGUAACUUAUUUUAAUAUUUGUGUAGUAUACGAAAAUAUAAUUGUUUAGCCAGUUGUAUAGCUUGAUUUUGUAACUGUUA
Long non-coding RNA from Olea europaea var. sylvestris, 626 nucleotides. RefSeq lists it as uncharacterized. The transcript is spliced from 2 exons. The record is from RefSeq and is a predicted model, not a curated record. NCBI's taxonomy places the organism in Eukaryota, Viridiplantae, Streptophyta, Magnoliopsida, Lamiales, Oleaceae.